This is a long non-coding RNA of Panthera uncia (snow leopard), 719 nucleotides long. RefSeq lists it as uncharacterized. The transcript is spliced from 3 exons. NCBI's taxonomy places the organism in Eukaryota, Metazoa, Chordata, Mammalia, Carnivora, Felidae. The record is from RefSeq and is a predicted model, not a curated record.
CUGCAGGGCCACUCUGACUGGGGGAUGCUCAGUCAUCCCGCGGGACGUGUGCUCCCGGGUGGAGCCGGCGUUGGGAGGUCAGCCCGGUUCGGGAGCAGUGCCCGGCCGCGGUCUCCAGGUAGAACCGCUUUUCCGGCCUCGACCGUCCUUGACUGCUCAGGCUCAGCUCGAGAGACACCUGGGGGAAGGCGGGAACCAAUAUUGAGCGCCAUUGCUAGGUGCCUUAAAAUACUAAUUUUCUGUACGCAAAUCUCUACCAAGUAGGUACUGUCGCCCUUAAUUUAGAGGAAACGAAACCGAGGCUCAAGAGAGGCAGUCCCUGAACUCACUACACCAUCUGUACUUUUUGAAAAGUGUCGCUUCUCCAGACUCCAACCUCAAAUCAGAAACCAUGAGGAAUAUGAUUGAGAAAAGUGAACAAGGGGAGUUCUAAGGCCUAGUGUUCAAUCUCUAGGUAAUGCAAUGGGUAACCUUAGCUACAUUUUAUUGUUCAAAACAAUUCAUAAAUCCAUAUUCAAGAAACAUGGACAUAGACCCUGACUCUUAAUUGGAGGAAUGAGUACCGAGGCCAUUUUUUAUGAUCAACCAUACCCACGUGUACCUACAAUGAAAUGCUCUUCAAAAUUACCUGUUACUCAUAAUUUGAAGACCAUAGACUGAUAGUUCAUAUAUUUACCUGCACUUAUAAUGUGACAUCCUCUGUACUUGGAAUAAUAAAA